CGUCUCCUGUAAGUGAAGCGUGAUGAGGACUGAAAAAAAGUAAGGAAGUUUCCGAAUCCACACUGCCGAGAAAAGCCGCUAUUGCGUUAUGUGUACCCGUACCGUAAACCGACACAGGUAGAUGAGGAGAAAAUCCACAGGCCGACGGGAGAAGUGUUGUUAAGGAACUCGGCAAAAUGACCCCGUAACUUAGGGAGAAGGGGAGCCACGAAAGUGGUCACAGAAAAGAGGCUCAAGCAACUGUUUAGCAAAAACACAGGUCUCUGCUAAACCGAAAGGUGAAGUAUAGGGGCUGACACCUGCCCGGUGCUGGAAGGUUAAAAGGAGAGGUAAGGAGCAAUCCGAAGCUUUGAAUUCAAGCCCCAGUAAACGGCGGCCGUAACUAUAACGGUCCUAAGGUAGCGAAAUUCCUUGUCAGGUAAGUUCUGACCCGCACGAAAGGCGUAAUGAUUUGAGCACUGUCUCGACAACACGCCCGGUGAAAUUGAAGAACCAGUGAAGAUACUGGUUACCCGCAACAGGACGGAAAGACCCCAUGGAGCUUUACUGCAGCCUGAUACUGGGAUUCGAUGAUGUAUGUACAGGAUAGGAGGGAGACUAUGAGACUUGGACGCCAGUCUAGGUGGAGUCGCCGGUGGGAUACCUCUCUUAUAUCAUUGAAUUUCUAACCUGUGCCCGUAAUCCGGGCAAGGGACAAUGUUAGUCGGGCAGUUUGACUGGGGCGGUCGCCUCCUAAAGAGUAACGGAGGCGCUCGAAGGUCACCUCAGAAUGAUUGGAAACCAUUCAAAGAGUGUAAAGGCAAAAGGUGGCUUGACUGCGAGAGCGACGGCUCGAGCAGGUACGAAAGUAGGACUUAGUGAUCCGGUGGUAAUAAGUGGGAAUGCCAUCGCUCAACGGAUAAAAGCUACCCUGGGGAUAACAGGCUUAUCUCCCCCAAGAGUUCACAUCGACGGGGAGGUUUGGCACCUCGAUGUCGGCUCGUCGCAUCCUGGGGCUGUAGUCGGUCCCAAGGGUUGGGCUGUUCGCCCAUUAAAGCGGCACGCGAGCUGGGUUCAGAACGUCGUGAGACAGUUCGGUCCCUAUCCGUCGCGGGCGUAGGAAAUUUGAGAGGAUCUGCUCCUAGUACGAGAGGACCAGAGUGGACUUACCGCUGGUGUACCAGUUGUUCUGCCAAGAGCAUCGCUGGGUAGCUAUGUAGGGAAGGGAUAAACGCUGAAAGCAUCUAAGUGUGAAGCCCACCUCAAGAUGAGAUUUCCCAUGAUUUUAUAUCAGUAAGAGCCCUGAGAGAUGAUCAGGUUGAUAGGUUAGAAGUGGAAGUGUGGUGACACAUGUAGCGGACUAAUACUAAUAGCUCGAGGACUUAUCCAA
Molecule: ribosomal RNA, 1369 nt
Filed under: human gut metagenome
Description: bacterial LSU rRNA
Rfam family: Bacterial large subunit ribosomal RNA
Source: RNAcentral